This 483-nucleotide ribosomal RNA is filed under the name uncultured bacterium. Its description in RNAcentral is "partial 16S ribosomal RNA". It matches the Rfam family "Bacterial small subunit ribosomal RNA", at positions 30 to 507 of the family's 1533-position model. The record is from RNAcentral.
UUGAACGCUGGCGGCAUGCUUUACACAUGCAAGUCGAACGGCAGCACGGGCUUCGGCCUGGUGGCGAGUGGCGAACGGGUGAGUAAUAUAUCGGAACGUACCCAGAAGUGGGGGAUAACGUAGCGAAAGUUACGCUAAUACCGCAUACGAUCUAUGGAUGAAAGCAGGGGACCGCAAGGCCUUGUGCUCCUGGAGCGGCCGAUAUCCGAUUAGCUAGUUGGUGAGGUAAAGGCUCACCAAGGCGACGAUCAGUAGCUGGUCUGAGAGGACGACCAGCCACACUGGAACUGAGACACGGUCCAGACUCCUACGGGAGGCAGCAGUGGGGAAUUUUGGACAAUGGGCGCAAGCCUGAUCCAGCAAUGCCGCGUGAGUGAAGAAGGCCUUCGGGUUGUAAAGCUCUUUUGUCAGGGAAGAAACGGUAGAGGCUAAUAUCCUUUGCUAAUGACGGUACCUGAAGAAUAAGCACCGGCUAACUACGUG